GGACCUCUAGGUGUUUCAAACCUUUCUAGGACCUCUAGGUGUUUCAAACCUCUCCUCUAGGUGUUCCAAACCUCUCCUCUAGGACCUCUUGUUGCAGCCCUGACCUAGCACACUUGAUUCAAAUAGUCAAGGGCUUGAUGAUUGGUUGACAAGUUGAAUCAGGUGUUCUAGCUCUGGAAUAGUUCAAAUACAUGGAACGGCUGGAGAACCCAGAGGAGAGGUUUGAGAACGGCUGGAGAACCCAGAGGAGAGGUUUGAGAAUGGCUGGAGAACCCAGAGGAGAGGUUUCAGAACGGCUGGAGAACCCAGAGGAGAGGUUUGAGAACGGCUGGAGGUCCCAGAGGAGAGGUUUGAGAACGGCUGGAGGUCCCAGAGGAGAGGUUUGUGAAUGGCUGGAGGUCCCGGGGGAGAGGUUUGAGAACGGCUGGAGGUCUCGGAGGAGAGUUUUGGAACGGCUGGAGAACCCGGAGGAGAGGUUUGGAAAAGGCUGAGCUAUAUGUUUGCCAAACAACUUUACAUGUCUGUUUCACACACAGGAAGGUAUUGCAGUUGAAUCACAAUUCAUGUUGAUUAAAACAAAUGAUAAUGAA
Molecule: long non-coding RNA, 590 nt
Organism: Oncorhynchus tshawytscha (Chinook salmon)
Lineage: Eukaryota; Metazoa; Chordata; Actinopteri; Salmoniformes; Salmonidae
Source: Ensembl